UGGAUUAGGCAUGCGAGUCGUACGAGAACCCCGCAAGGGGGGACAGUGGCGAACGGGGUAGUAAGGCGUAGGUGACGUGCCCUGCGGUCGGGGAUAGCUUAGGGAAACUUAAGGUAAUACCCGAUAAUCCCGGGAGGUUUGAAGACCAUCCGGGCAAAGGUGUGAUUCCAUCACAGGAGCGGCUUGCGUGGUAUUAGCUAGUUGGUGAGGUAACGGCUCACCAAGGCUGCGAUGCCUAGGGGAUGUUAGCGCAUGAUCCCCACCACAGGGACUGAGAUACUGCCCAGACACCUACGGGUGGCUGCAGUCGAGAAUCUUCGGCAAUGGGGGCAACCCUGACCGAGCGACGCCGCGUGUGGGAUGAAGGCCCUUGGGUUGUUUUCCUC
Molecule: ribosomal RNA, 386 nt
Filed under: uncultured organism
Description: bacterial SSU rRNA
Rfam family: Bacterial small subunit ribosomal RNA
Source: RNAcentral